This 424-nucleotide ribosomal RNA is filed under the name uncultured bacterium. Its description in RNAcentral is "bacterial SSU rRNA". It matches the Rfam family "Bacterial small subunit ribosomal RNA", at positions 359 to 775 of the family's 1533-position model. The record is from RNAcentral.
GAAUCUUCCACAAUGGGCGAAAGCCUGAUGGAGCAAUGCCGCAUGAGUGAAGAAGGAUUUCGGUUCGUAAAACUCUGUUGCAAGGGAAGAACAAGUAGCGUAGUAACUGGCGCUACCUUGACGGUACCUUGUUAGAAAGCCACGGCUAACUACGUGCCAGCAGCCGCGGUAAUACGUAGGUGGCAAGCGUUGUCCGGAAUUAUUGGGCGUAAAGCGCGCGCAGGUGGUUCCUUAAGUCUGAUGUGAAAGCCCACGGCUCAACCGUGGAGGGUCAUUGGAAACUGGGGAACUUGAGUGCAGAAGAGGAUAGUGGAAUUCCAAGUGUAGCGGUGAAAUGCGUAGAGAUUUGGAGGAACACCAGUGGCGAAGGCGACUAUCUGGUCUGUAACUGACACUGAGGCGCGAAAGCGUGGGGAGCAAACAG